CACGGCCGGCGGGGACGCGCACGCUGUCCUCUGCCGGGGCCGCGACCUGGAGAGGGCGGACCCGGAGAACGCGCUGGAUAGCGGCUGGUUAGGCGCGUUCCCGCCUCUCCCGGCGGUGCUCCGGUUCGCCUCCCGCCGUGCUCCCUGCCAGGGUCGGCUCCCGGACCUUGCUUUUCGGGAAGGAAUCCCAGAGCUCCUGUGGCACAGUGGAGGACGCUGGCACCGAGGAGCGCGCGUGACCCGUGCUCCUCGCUCGCCCGCCCGGAGCUCGCACUCGCAGGAAAUAGGACUCUGCUGCCCGGCAGCCCGCGGAGGACGGCUUCUGUGGGCGACCCACGCGGCCUCCAGAGGGCGCGGCGCGGCUUCUGGGAAAUACCUUGGGGACAAAAGCGCGGUCACCCUGCUACACACAGCGCCCGUAGGCGGCCCGGUUACUACCGCCGGCCAGGCUGUGCGGCGGGGCGGGGGACACUGGUGUCACCGACGCCCACCGUCUGGAGGCCUCAUGUCCACUCCCAUCCCAAAACCGUCGUGAAGGGAAUGGGGCGGGGCAGAGGUAAGAAAACCCCGUCGUGUGCUUUUUCUGGUGACAGCAUUUGUACCCCAGCUGUUGGGAACCAUGAUUCACCGUCCUGAAGGGACUGGCUCUUCAGACUUCUUCAUCUGAACGAUCAGCACACUGAAGUAACAACACAAAACCCUGGGGGAGCUUAGACUAAACACAUUGUAAAAGUGCUUUUGUUGUUGUUGUUGUUUAAUGAAGAAAUUUGGAUUUUUGGAACAUUAA
Molecule: long non-coding RNA, 787 nt
Organism: Arvicola amphibius (Eurasian water vole)
Lineage: Eukaryota; Metazoa; Chordata; Mammalia; Rodentia; Cricetidae
Exons: 2
Source: RefSeq, a predicted model, not a curated record